UGUUUGAGCUGCUCUGAGGUAGGCAGUCACACAGCCAGGAAGUGGUAGAACUGUGUUUCAAACUUUUCUGUUGGGCACUGAAAACCUAUGCUCUGCUGCUGCUAAUCACAUGCUUCGCAGAUUGGACCAGAGAUGUCAGGGGCUGGGUCAUCCUCAUUGUGGUGCGCCCAGCACCAGAACAGUCAGCAGUGGAGGAGAGUCCACCAAUGCUGCCUGAAUGUAGUUAUUUUAAAACACAGAGUGACAUCUGAGUGUUUGACAUGUGGCAUGUGAAUGGGGAAGAAACUCUACAACUAUCCUAGAGCCAGUGACACCCCCUGAGUCAAGGCUUAAAACCAGAUAGUAGCAGACAUUGAUCCCUGUAGUUACAGUUCCUGGUUUACUUGUCAGCAUGGCGUUGCUUGUCAACAUUUCUCAGCAAGCUUUGAAGUCAGACACCUUUCAGUGAUACAGGUAUGUUAGACUGCACCCCAGAGCAGGUCUGAUUUUGUCUUUGGGCUCCAGAGAUGCUUAACCCUUUAAGAAAAGCCUAAUAGAGGAAUAGCUAGAUUGGCAAAAAUAGAACUUGGCAGUGGGGGAAUAAUUUUGCACUAUUGGUCAUGGGGUUCCUUUAGAUCAUCAUAUUCUAGAGUGUGUGUAAAUGGAAUCAGUAUGAAUCGGUAGCCCUAGACCGAGAUCUCCAUACACCUGCCCUGUCCCUGUGCAAAGGAGCGCUCAGCUCUUCCUCCCUUCCUCCUCUUUUCUUUUCUCCAGGAAGAGAUAGGUCCCCUCAGUUUGUUCUCAGGUCUGGCGAAGAGACAAGCUGGCUGCCGCUGAAAAGGAAAAUGUCCUGAGAGAUGACAAGUGAAUUUGUGUCUGAGCCUGGAAAAUAAUUUUAAAUUGGAAGCUGGGGUUCCUACAGGAUUUGUCUAUCUCCGUUUUCCCACCUGCCUGCUCCUCCCUUGAACCUCUCAACUCACCAUCAAAAAGGGCAAAAGGGAUCACAGCUCCUACAGGGCCUGACUGCCCUCAAAGUCAGAGCUCAAGGCAUCUUGCCCCCUCCUCACUGGUGACAGGCUGUUCCUUCCUGGCACAGGUGCUGGAGGGAGGCCAGGGAGCAGUGAGGUUGCACGGCAGCCUUGGCACAGAGCCCUGGCUGCUGUCUGGGCAUGAAGCUGGGCUCUGAUACCAGGAGGGGAUUCUAGCUCCCUGAGCCAGAAUUGCCUGUGCAGAGACCACUCUGCUGCUCAAGCCCUGGUGGGUCCCACUGCUUCUGCGGGUUCAGGAGCAGAAAUGAAUCUGGAAGGAAUGGCAGGAGCAAGUAGAAGUUGCUGGGGCACAGGCGAGCUGUGUCUGCAUGUGCAGAAGCAGCCCGUGGGGGUGUGCUUAGGGUGGAGGACAAUGGCAUGCAUGUCCAGCAAGUGGACAGAACAGACUUUACCCCAAUUCCUUGCUCCACUGUGGGACUAGGGGCCUCAGCCCUAAGGACAACCUCCCUCCAUCACCAACCAAGGGCCUCAAAUCCAGAUGAUGCAAUGUCUCUAACAUGGGGCCCUCCCCACCCCAAAAUGAAAGCUCCACCAGGCUGCCCUCAGACCCAUCACUAUUCAGUAGGGCCUCCUGUUGCCACUUUUUCAACAAUAUUUUUCAGCCUCUGACCCUAGAGUAAUCUCAGCUUCCUUGUACUCAGUUCAGAAGAUGUCUGUUAUUCAGGAUUCUGAUGUAGAGGUUUGAUAAGAGAGGCCUCAGGCCUUCUGAAUUAGUAAACCAACAGGGUCAAAGGAUUAAAAAACCAAGAAGCACGAAGAGAGCCACACCCCGAGAGGUGGCAGAGCACCGGCUCCUGUCACCUGAAAUCUUCCAGGAUAUUUAGAAAUGUGUCAGUGAGUUCUCACUACAUUUACCUUGGAUGUCUUGUUUGUUUUCUAAAUUAAAGUGUCCUAUAGCACCAACAAAAUCAGAUCCAUGUCUUAUUGAAUCUGCUGUAGUUUCUGUGCUUGGCUUGGUGUUGCUUUCUAUUUCUAUGUCACUUUUCUCAGUUAGUGGAGGUAAAAAUGUCACACAGCAAACUUGUCUAGUAAUACAGUGCGGGAAGCUGGAGAGAUCUCCUUCAGAGCUGUCCUGUCGCACUCCAGCCAAGGCACAGGUGUGGGAGCUGCACGGGGAGGAAGGGCUGUCUUCAUGGGCGGCCGCUUAAGGCCAGGCCGGCAGAGUUCUGUCCACAGCAGUUCACCUAGACCCAGUCCUGAAGCCUGUGACUGUUUAAGCAGCCUGUUUCAAAUGCUUUCUGUGAGCAAAUCUAUUCAGUGCUUUCCUAAAAGGUACUGGGGUGGGGGUGAAGGCCACAGGCAGGGUGGUAUAUGCGGGCAGUUUCUACCAGCUAAAAAGCACAGAAGUAAUGCAAAGCUGCAGGAAAUAAAAGUAUGAUGUAAGGAAACACUAAGUGGACUCCAUGGGCUCAGGGUAUAACUGGACAAGCUCUGGGUUCCAUACUGGGAUGCUGGUGUCACUUAGAAAUCCCUCUCCCAAGGCUCAUUGGAGGCUUGCUUGGGAUUCAGUGUGUGUUAUUUGUAGUCAGUCCAGGAUUCAAGUACUUCUUUAUUAGCUCUGUGAUGUUGGGAGGGCACUCAAACUCUCCAAGCCUCAGUUUCCACAUCUGUAAAAGGGAGCCACUCAGCCUGUCACAGAGGAUUAACAUGGGCGGCUUAAAGUUUAGGAAUACACAGCAUGUCCUUGGCAUUGAGCAUGCACAGGGCUCCCUCACCUUCCCAGUUUGGACUGGGGAUCAGAGAGCCCCGCAGAUGGGUCUGCUUCUAAGUCCUAGCCCAGCCAGGUGGCUCCACUUCUCUGAGUGUUCUUUGUGACAGGAUACAGAAGUUGGGAAUCCAUAUGCCGACUGAACAGAUGUGGGCUAUGUUGACUGUGUUGACUGACAUGUGGGCUGCAGGAGCAAGUGAGCCCCGUGACUCAGGGGUACAGUGUGGGAAGAGGAAUUGUUUUCAUGAGCCAGGGCUGGGAGAGAAGAGCCGAGAACAUGAAGAUGUAGCUGGCCCGAUCCUCGCCAAGCACCCCAAGGGUACACAGCACUUUACCCUGAGCCAGAAUUCCCAGGACAAGGGCCCAGCCACUUCUCCAACCCCACAGGCUCCGUCCUGGCCCCGGCUACCAGAUGCACACCAUCCUCUGGGUGUCAUUUUGGGUGUUCCUGUGUAACAUGAAGACUCUGCUAAGAAACAUAUUGAGUGACACUGUUGUCAAGAGGGAUCUCACAGGGCUGUUCCAUUGGCCCUGGGAGAAAAAGAUGUACACCAAGAAAUUAUUUUUCUGAUGAAAUUGAAAUUCUGUCUAUCUAACCAAGUCAAGGUAGAAAGUAAACCUUGAUUCCAUAUUAUGCACAUUAGACCUGAAAGAGAAGAAUGAGCCCUUGGGUUAACGAACCCAAGGUUUGUUAGGCAUUUGUGCUGGCUUCACAGUGGCCCCAAGAGAAAAGCAAAGAAUGGUCAAAAACCACUGAGAAUGUGAAAAACCCCUAAGAAUUUUGCUCUCCUCCUUUACCAAAUUAUUUGCCCAAGCCGCUGAUAAUGAACUAACUGCCUAAAUCCCUUGACUCCCAUCCACCUCCCCAUUUACACUUGUGGUUUGUCAGCAAUGGAAAAGAAAGGGAGGCUGAAAUGCAGGGGGUCAUGGGUGGUCUUCACUCUGGAUGGUAAAUAAAUGAAACUCAUCUGUCUUUCAUGGCUGGAAGCAAAAGUUCAAACAGUGGGUUCAAGAUGUACUCCAGUGUCUCAGCCAAAUUGGUUCACAAGCACAUUAUGGGUAGAAAAACCUGGCCAAUAAAUCAGCACUGAUUAUCUACUAUGUGGCAGGCACGGUAUUAGGCUUUGCGUAUACAAGGUCCCUGCCUUCAGAGAACUCAGGGUCUGGUGAGUAAGAUAGAUUUUAGGCAACGAAAGACACCAAACUUUAUACAAUUUGCAGAUUGUGAUAAAUCAAUAGCUGUUAUGAGAGAGCAACAAUGGGAAUUGGGAUACCUAUGGGGUAUGGUUAAGAAAGAUCUUUCUGUGGAGGUGGCAGUUGAAAUACAGCCUGCAACAGUGCCUCUCAAAUUUUAAUGUGCAUCAGAAUCACCUGGAGAGUUUGUUAAAAACAUGAAAGAAAAAACAGUUUCUGGGUCCAAAUCCCAGAGUUUCUGAUUCAGUAGGUGUGUAGUAGGUACCAAAGAUUUGCAUUUCUAACAUGAGAGUGAUGCUGAGACUGCUGGUGUAGAGAACACACUUUGAGGACCACGAACCUGGAGGAUCAGUAGGAAUUAGCUGGGUAAAGAGUGGGGGGAGAGUGAGGGAGCAGCAUGUGCAAAUGCCCUCAUGUGGGAACAAUCUGGGGGGGCUUCAGGUAAUGGAAAGGAUUGUCUGCAAGGCAGUGAAUUCGUGGCUUGAGAUGAUGUUAGAGAUGAACCUGGCCUUUAUCCCCAUCCUGAAACUCACUCCAACAGAGCCACCUCCAAUGGUAGCAUGCCUAAGAAGAAUGGUUCCAUUGACCCUUGGAUAUGUCCUACUGCAACUAGGACAUACCCCAGCUAAUGGAAUAGUGUGACCCUGAGAUAUUGUGAAGAUUCACAGUGACAAGGUAUGUAAAGGGCUGAGUGCAGAGCAAACGAUCAGUCUAUUCUUGAUGCCUUUGCUCCCUCCAUUCCCUGGCUUGAAACAUGGCCCUAUUUUAGUUAUAAGAGGACAUCUUCCUAAAGUGGUACUAAGGUGCUGCAAGCAAAAAGAGUUAAUGUGGAAGUGGUCCUUCAUACCUGAACUGGGAUCUGAUUAAAUAGUUGGCUAUAGAGAAGAAAUCUAGAUUCCACUCCCAAACAGCAGGUAUAUGUGUGUAUUUUCCUACAUUUCAUGCAAUUCAUUAAUGUCACAGGACAUUAAACCAAAGAAAACAUGGGUUGAGUCUUUGGAGCCAAAGUGUACCACUGGCAUUAGGCCAAUUCAAUUCAGAUCGUGUUUACUGUGCAUUCACUCUGUGCCAGGUGCUAUGGUAGGUGUCGGGAAGACAAAGACGGAUGAUCAAGGCUGGUCCCUCCUCUUCAGGAGCUCCUCAUUUCACUGGUAGAUGGCCACACAAAUAACACAGCAGUGGAAUAAAAGCCACAGCAAGGGUCUGUGCAAAGGGCAAUAAAAACUCAGGAGAGAGAAGUUCUGCCUGGAGAAGUCAGAGAAGGUCACAUACAAAAAGUGACAUUGGAGCCAAGCCUAGAAUGGAAACAUGUAGAGAAUGAGCAAAACUGAAGGAUGAAUGAACAAAUUUCCUUUAAAAAGUUUUUUGUUAUUGUUUUUUUAAGCUCUGACCUAAAUCAUUAUGAGCUUCUAGAAGACACAUGGCCACAUGGUGUCGAAUUUGAUUUAAAAUAUUGCAUAAACUUAUAUAUAGAAACACAUAUGGAAACAAUCUGAAAAUAUUUCUCCUCAAAUAUAGUGCCAUUUGCUUUUAUGAAUUUGCUAUUUUUGGAUGAAAAUGUGAAAUAUGGUUUGGUCUUCUGAGACUCAGAAGAAAUUAUAUCACCAUUUGGUUGUUAAUUCACUAAUUAUUUAGUCAGUCAACAAAUAUUUAGUUAGAAUUCUCAAUUUUUGAGGCAUUGUAAUAGGUCCUUUAGGGGCAACAAAGAUAUGUAAGUUAUUGUCCUACCCACAGGACUCUUUGAGGCUUAGGAGUGAGAAAAACAUCUGAACACAAAUAAUUCUAACACAAGUGGGUGGUAAAUGAUAUGAAUGAAUACAAACAAAAUGCUCCUGGUAUCUAGAGGAAAACAAGCCAUUUUUGAUUGGGAUAAGCACAGAAAGCUUGGCCUUUAUGGAGAAGCCAUUUGCACUAGGCCUGUAGGAUGGGAAGGGAUUAGACAUAUAGAA
Long non-coding RNA from Manis pentadactyla (Chinese pangolin), 5879 nucleotides. RefSeq lists it as uncharacterized. The transcript has 3 exons. The record is from RefSeq and is a predicted model, not a curated record. Lineage: Eukaryota; Metazoa; Chordata; Mammalia; Pholidota; Manidae.